UAAUAAUUUAAAGUACACAUUCUUUUUAUUCCUUCUCACUUUUUUCUAUUAGAUCACGUCACAUAAUGAUAUAAAUAUAUACGACCAAAGGUUGUGGUGGGAUGACAAGUACUCCUCUAUCCUUAGCCAUAAGUCUUAAGUUCAAGCCCGUGAAAUGAAAUCGCCUUUGGUAAGGAAUGUUUAAACUCCAACAGUGAAACUUUCCAAUGCGAAUCAGGAUAGUCCCAAAACAACACCAAGUGGCUCUAGAUCAUCAAUUGCAUUGAGCCGUCCCUGCUUAAAACUUUAGCUGGAACAAUCAAAUUAUAUUUUGUGAAAAAGAAAAACCUAAAAAAAAAAAAAGCAAACAUGUUCAACUAGAAGAAUGAAAAGAAAAAGGUAAUAUAGUUGGUCAGACAUUGUUAAAAGGCUUACGUGGUUUUCCACAUUAACCCCAUGAUGGGAUAUUGGAAUCUGGGAAAUCAUGCAAUUGGACAUCAUAAAAGACGACAACCAUUUUAUUUCUUUAAGUUAAAUUAAACUAAAGAGGGCUGGCCUUGCUCCUCUAUUCAGACUUGCAUAGGAAUAUGAGACGCUCCAUUUGAAAGUCAAGCCUUUUUUCCAUUUGUCAUCAUUUUUAACAGAUCUCUGUUGCUCUCUAAGCUAAGAAUAACAGUGAAAAAACAAAGAGAGAGAGAGAGAGCGCUAUGGCUUAUGCUGCUGUGACCUCUCUUAUGUCAACUCUUGGAUUGCUACUGCAAUCCAAUUCCCGUUUAAAUCUUCCCAACGAAGAGCAAACUGAAUCUCUUCACAAAAGAGUAAAAGAACAGAUUCAAUCCUUUCGCCAAAAAGUCGGUUCACUGCAAGCGCUUCUUGAAACAUUGGAGAAGAAUAUCAAUGAUCCUAAGACAAUUGAACAUUGUGAAGUCAAGAUCAAAGAUGCAGCACAUGAUGCAGAAUAUCGAAUUGAAUCAGUAUUGGAAAAAUUUUACAAGGCUCAAAAUGAAAAAAUUAGUAGAGAAGCUUAUGAGGAGUUUUGCAAGAGGUUGCAAAAAGCAUCUGAGUCCAUAGAUUCCAAUUCCAGAAAGUUAACUGAAAGUAUGAAGAGUGGUUUGCAGGCAACUAGUUCACUUAUCCAAAGUUUUGAUUUACCAGAACAUUCUCCACAACUUGGCAAUAGCAUGGUUGGACAUGAAAAUGAACUGGAGGAUGUGAAGUGUAAACUCAUGAAAAUCUCAUCCGAUGAAAGAGAAACUAUGGCAAUCACAGGUAUGGGGGGCAUAGGCAAGACAACCUUUGCUAGAAAAAUUUAUGAUGAUCCAGAAAUUAAAUCACAUUUUGACAUUCUAGCAUGGGUUACUGUGUCAAAGGAAUACUGUGUUAGAAAGAUGUUGCUGCAGCUUCUUCAUUGUAUUCCAUCAACGGAAGAAGUACGCCGUGAAGCAAGGGAUGAUGGUGAGCUAGCAGGCAAAUUGAAACAGAGGCUGUGGAAACGCAGGUACCUAGUUGUCAUCGACGAUAUAUGGAGCAGCAAAGCUUGGGAUGAUAUAAGUCUAUGGUUUCCAGAUUGCAAAGGAAGUCAUAUCCUACUUACCACAAGGUGCGGGAAUGUGGCCAGUUAUGCUGCUCCAGGUAAGACUCCUCAUCACAUGUCUUCUCUAAGUCCGGAGAAAAGUUGGGAACUAUUGCAAUCGAAGCUUCUUGAGAAAGUAGAGCUCUCUCCAGAAUUAGUAAAAAUUGGAAAGAAAAUUGCAGAAAAUUGUCAUGGAAUGCCUUUGACUAUUACUGUAGUUGCUGGAAUUCUAUCUAAAUGCAACAAUGCAUUAGAAGGAUGGAAGCGAGUAGCACAUGAUGUAAAAUCAGCAAUAUUUAAAGAUCUUGGUAGACAAUGCGAAAAGGUCCUUGGGUUAAGUUACUACUAUCUUCCUCAACACCUAAAGGCUUGCUUUCUAUAUUUUGGAAUUUUUCCCGAAGAUGAAGAAGUUGAUGUGAGAAGAUUAGUGGAGCUAUGGGUUGCACGGGGAUUUUUAAAGGAAGCUGAUAAUAAAAGUUUGGAGGACAUAGCUGGAGAAUGUUUGCAAGAACUUAUAGAUAGAAAUCUGGUUCUUGUAAGCGGGCAGAGUUUUUGGGGAGAAGUGGAAACAUGUAAGAUCCAUGACCUCUUACAUGAGUUAUGCUUAAGACAAGCUCGAAGUGAGAACUUCCUACCUGUUACAAAAAGUAAACCACUGAAUCGAGUCACGUGUGUCUCCCGAUCAUCUGUACAGGAUUGUCUAAUGAUUGUUCGCUCAAUUAGCGAUUUUUAUUGGUUAAACUCUCUUCGCCGUGAUCAAAAGAAAAUACGCACUAUUGUCUAUAAAGGUGAACGCAAACGUGCGGAGAGAGAAAGAUUCGAAUUCAAGAUCUUCAAAAUGAUCAGAGUAUUGGACUUGAGAAAGUUAUACUUUGAUAAUGGUAUUCCAACUUCAGUAUUUGAUUUAGUGCACCUAAGGUAUCUAUCCUUGUACAUUGAAAAACAUGAAUAUAUCCCUCUUUCCAAACUUCAAAAUUUGCAAAUUUUGAUUGUUGAAAUAGGAAAGAAUUGGGCAGAUAAGGUGCCUAUAGAAAUUUGGAGGAUGCCACAGUUAAGGACUGUACGCUUUGUCAAGACAGGAUGGCAAUGUCCUCCCAAUAUGCCAAUAGGUGAAAGGGAGCAUACGGUUUUACAACACCUACAUACUUUAACUGGUGUUGGUGCUGCAUGGUGUAAAAAAGAAAUCUUUGCAUUAAUGCCUAACUUGAAGAACCUGGAAAUUGUGUUAGGCGGAGUUACUCGCGAUUUGUGGAAACGUAUUUCCUGUUUGCCUCUAAUUGAGGUACUUAGAAUUAUAGUUGGAAAAAUUGAUUAUAGUGCCUUUUCCCUGUACAGAUCAAAAGCACAUGCCGAUUUUUUGAAAUAUCGAAGCACUUUUCCACCAACCCUUAGAAGGUUGACAUUAGGUGGGACAUGUCUUCCUUGGGAGGCUAUGGACAUAGUUGGCAUGUUGCCUAACCUCGAGAUACUGGAACUGGAAGACGAUGCCUGCGGAGUUAAACCUAAGACCGCGUGGAAACCCUCCGAAGAAGGGUUUCCUCAAUUAAAGUUCUUGUCACUAUGUCAUAUGCUUUGUUUCACAGAGUGGAAGGCUACAGAAGAUCAUUUUCCUGUCUUGGAGAGACUAUUUAUAUCUCAUUGUCCGCGGCUAGAAGAGAUCCCACAAGAAUUUGCAAAUAUUUUUACACUUCAAUUGAUCGAGUUACAUGACUGCUGUAUUCACCUGGCCAUAUCAGCACAGCAGAUUGAACAAGAGCAAGAAGCCACUUAUGGAAGCCAAGUGACAAAUGUCCAUACAUACAAUUGUGGACAAGGUAAGAUCAUCCAUGUUUGAUCGUGCUUUGACAAAUAGAACAUAUCACCAAGCUUUUUAGUGAGUGUUAAAUAUUUCUUUCUUCUGGAGUUUUGAUUUGAUCAACUUCAUCACUAAUGUGUUAAAAUAGCUAUCGACUGAAUUGAAGGAAGAGGAAAAAAGGGAGAGGAGAGGGGGCAAAUUUUAAAAUGAAUAAAACCUCUGAACAUAUUUUGAUGAAAAAACUACACUAAAGCCUUCUAAUCCUUUCAUUUCUCUUGUGGCCGUUUCAACGACAAUAACAACAACAAACCCAGUGUGAUCCCACAAGUAGGGUCUGGGGAGGAUAGUGUCUAUACAGCCUUACCCUUACCUUGUGAGGGUAGAGAUAUCUUGUGGCUGUUUCAUACGGUAAAAUUUGAUGCACAUUGCUUAGUCUCCUGCACUCCUCUCUUCUCUUUAACUUGACAAUUCGAGUACAGUAGAAGUUUUUUAAUAUGGUUGAGGAAAUAUUAGUACAAUGUUUUUUUAAAUUUGACAUUUCGAAACACUUGAGUUAUUUGAAUUGCACUGAAUUCUUAGAGUAACUUUGUUACAUUUGGCAUACCACUUAUACACCAACUUUUAUAACAAUAAUAUCAUUGGGAAUGAUUUAACACAGAAAGAGCUAGAAAUAUAUUGGUUUUGAACUUAUUUAUUACUAGUAUUUUUUAUAUGCGUGAAGAUUAUAAUUUAACUGUAAUUUGAUGGUUAAGAUGCUAAUAUAUUGGUUUUGAACUUAUUUAUUACUAGUAUUUUUUAUAUGCGUGAAGAUUAUAAUUUAACUGUAAUUUGAUGGUUAAGAUGCUAAUAUUUGUACUUCUUUUCUUUUUAAUAGCUUACUGCUUCCAAUGUCAACAUGUACUGAAGAGAAAUUCCUGCUGACUGAGGGAGGUAGUUGCAACCAUACUUCAUCAAACUUCGUUUAGAGCUUUCUAUUUUCCUUGAGCAUGGUGUUAAGAAAUUAAGAUCCUUAUGCAUUUGGUUGUGUUUUUAUUUCUUGCUUUUCAUUUUCAGUCGUCAUUUUUUAAUGCGAAAAUAAUAUUUGAACAAAAAAUACCCCUACUUAACACACUAAUAUAUUCAGAAUAAAAUAUGUCAGAGGAAAAUGUGUGUCAUGAAAUCCAGAUUUAAUUAUUUCUAUAUUCCAGUUUUUUUCAGCAGUGAAUAGCACAAAAAUUAUAGUAAAGGUAAUUUUAGAAAAUUGAGAGCAUUCAAAUCAAAUUUGGUUGCUUCACCUGUUUUCUUUCUCUCGCCGGCGAC
Molecule: long non-coding RNA, 4646 nt
Filed under: Nicotiana tabacum (common tobacco)
Lineage: Eukaryota; Viridiplantae; Streptophyta; Magnoliopsida; Solanales; Solanaceae
Description: long non-coding RNA (NTAB_LNC008885)
Source: RNAcentral